This 269-nucleotide long non-coding RNA is filed under the name Manihot esculenta (cassava). RNAcentral's name for it is "long non-coding RNA (MESC_LNC004556)". Lineage: Eukaryota; Viridiplantae; Streptophyta; Magnoliopsida; Malpighiales; Euphorbiaceae. The record is from RNAcentral.
UUUUUUUCCUUGUUAUUAUAUCUUAGCCAAAUUACAUCCCUAUCAAAGAAAGUAGAGACAUUCCACUUGGUCCAUAACUUGAGUUUUGCUCAAAUUACAUAUAAAUUUCAAAAUUUUCUAUUUAUCAAAUUUAUCAUUUUUUCAAACUUUAAUCAUACUAUAUAACUAAAAUAUUAUUCACUUGAUCUAGUUCUACUAAGGUAAUAAAAUUUUCAAAUAAAACCUAAUUAACAAAUUAUUGAAUUUAUUCAAAUAAAGUUGAGCACAAA